UAAACUCGAUUUCUGGUAAAAUCGGAAGGUUUAACGAGUUUGACUGAGUUAACACUCGGUAAACUCGUGUAAACUCGACCGAUUUGUAAUGGCUGACACAAUAUUUUUUUUAAAAGAUUUGUAAGUGCUGGCAUAAUUUUAAAUAUGUACAAUUGAAUUUUGUGGGAAUAACAUUUUUAACAAAUAAAAAAUGUGUAUUGAAAAUAAUGUGUUAGAGUGUGUUUU
RNAcentral lists this long non-coding RNA (225 nucleotides) under Medicago truncatula (barrel medic). RNAcentral describes it as "long non-coding RNA (MTRU_LNC005136)". The record is from RNAcentral. Lineage: Eukaryota; Viridiplantae; Streptophyta; Magnoliopsida; Fabales; Fabaceae.